Xiphophorus hellerii (green swordtail) is the source of this 297-nucleotide long non-coding RNA. RefSeq lists it as uncharacterized. NCBI's taxonomy places the organism in Eukaryota, Metazoa, Chordata, Actinopteri, Cyprinodontiformes, Poeciliidae. The transcript has 2 exons. The record is from RefSeq and is a predicted model, not a curated record.
UUCUACCUCCGCCUCUCUGUCGAUCUCUCUCCCUCCCUCUCUCUCUCUCUGGGUUCCACCGUGAGAGCCUUAAUUGGUAAACGGGUGAAAGAUCAGAGGAGGUGGGGGUGUCUCUAACUCCGUCUCUCUUUUACUGUCUCUCUCUCUCUUUUUUUUUUUUCACAAGGUGAUGUAAUGACCGCGCCUCCGGGAUUUUCAAGGAGGAUCUGUGCGAAGCCGGGACCUGAUCCGAGGGAAAAGUAGCACGACUUCAACACAUUUUCACCCAACUAACAAUAAAAAAUAAAGUAUUUGCUU